UCACAAUGAUAUCAUCAUAGUAUAGCUCAAUGUAAAUGUCAUCAUGACAUCACUUGUUACAUAAUCAUGACAUCAUGUCAACUUGACUGUGUUGAAUCCAAAUUUGAACAAAACUCCGAAAAAUUUAAGUAUAUAUUUUUAUUGUGAUUCCAAAAUGUUCCUAUUCUCUGUAGCAAUCUUGACCCAGAGUAGCUUAUAUUACCCAUGGGAUCAAGAGAAAUUGCUGUGUGAUGUUUGGUUCCUGAAGGUCAACAAGCCUGUGUGGAGCAGACAAAUAUGGCAAACAUUGCAUUUAAUAUAUAUCAGUGAUGGGCAAACUAUGGCCUGCCACAGUGAUGUGUGCAGCCUGUGUGCGUAAGAUUUUUUUUUUUUAAUUUUACCAUAAAAGUGUUAAAUUAUAUAAAUAAGCAACAUAAUUAAUUAAUUAA
Molecule: long non-coding RNA, 428 nt
Filed under: Androctonus crassicauda
Lineage: Eukaryota; Metazoa; Arthropoda; Arachnida; Scorpiones; Buthidae
Source: RNAcentral